RNAcentral lists this ribosomal RNA (253 nucleotides) under uncultured bacterium. RNAcentral's name for it is "partial 16S ribosomal RNA". It matches the Rfam family "Bacterial small subunit ribosomal RNA", at positions 524 to 776 of the family's 1533-position model. The record is from RNAcentral.
UACGUAGGGUGCGAGCGUUAAUCGGAAUUACUGGGCGUAAAGCGUGCGCAGGCGGUUCGUUAAGUCAGAUGUGAAAGCCCCGGGCUCAACCUGGGAACUGCAUUUGAAACUGGCGGGCUUGAGUGUGGCAGAGGGGGGUGGAAUUCCGCGUGUAGCAGUGAAAUGCGUAGAGAUGCGGAGGAACACCGAUGGCGAAGGCAGCCCCCUGGGCUAACACUGACGCUCAUGCACGAAAGCGUGGGGAGCAAACAGG